RNAcentral lists this ribosomal RNA (468 nucleotides) under uncultured bacterium. RNAcentral's name for it is "partial 16S ribosomal RNA". It matches the Rfam family "Bacterial small subunit ribosomal RNA", at positions 28 to 507 of the family's 1533-position model. The record is from RNAcentral.
GACGAACGCUGGCGGCGUGCUUAACACAUGCAAGUCGAACGGAAAGGCCCUGCUUUUGUGGGGUGCUCGAGUGGCGAACGGGUGAGUAACACGUGAGUAACCUGCCCUUGCCUUUGGGAUAACUUCAGGAAACUGGGGCUAAUACCGGCUAGGAGCUCCUGCUGCAUGGUGGGGGUUGGAAAGUUUCGGCGGUUGGGGAUGGACUCGCGGCUUAUCAGCUUGUUGGUGGGGUAGUGGCUUACCAAGGCUUUGACGGGUAGCCGGCCUGAGAGGGUGACCGGCCACAUUGGGACUGAGAUGCGGCCCAGACUCCUACGGGAGGCAGCAGUGGGGAAUAGUGCACAAUGGGCGGAAGCCUGAUGCAGCAACGCCGCGUGCGGGAUGACGGCAUUGGGGUUGUAAACCACUGUCGCCUGUGACGAAGCGUGAGUGACGGUAAUGGGUGAAGAAGCACCGGCUAACUACGUG